AAUCUGCCUGGUAGUGGGGGAUCCCCCUCAGAAAUUUGGAUUAAUACCGCAUACGCCCUACGGGGGAAAGCAGGGGAUCUUCGGACCUUGCGCUAUCAGAUGAGCCUAUGUCGGAUUAGCUAGUUGGUGAGGUAACGGGUCCCCACGGCGACCAUCCGCAGCUGGUCUGAGAGGAUGAUCAGCCCCACUGGGACUGUGACACGGCCC
RNAcentral lists this ribosomal RNA (207 nucleotides) under uncultured bacterium. RNAcentral's name for it is "partial 16S ribosomal RNA". It matches the Rfam family "Bacterial small subunit ribosomal RNA", at positions 123 to 332 of the family's 1533-position model. The record is from RNAcentral.